GUCAGGAUGGCCGAGUGGUCUAAGGCGCUGCGUUCAGGUCGCAGUCAGAUUUAUCUGGCGUGGGUUCGAAUCCCACUUCUGACA
Molecule: transfer RNA, 84 nt
Organism: Tetranychus urticae (two-spotted spider mite)
Lineage: Eukaryota; Metazoa; Arthropoda; Arachnida; Trombidiformes; Tetranychidae
Rfam family: tRNA
About the family: Transfer RNA (tRNA) molecules are approximately 80 nucleotides in length. Their secondary structure includes four short double-helical elements and three loops (D, anti-codon, and T loops). Further hydrogen bonds mediate the characteristic L-shaped molecular structure. tRNAs have two regions of fundamental functional importance: the anti-codon, which is responsible for specific mRNA codon recognition, and the 3' end, to which the tRNAs corresponding amino acid is attached (by aminoacyl-tRNA synthetases). tRNAs cope with the degeneracy of the genetic code in two manners: having more than one tRNA (with a specific anti-codon) for a particular amino acid; and 'wobble' base-pairing, i.e. permitting non-standard base-pairing at the 3rd anti-codon position.
Source: Rfam